CCCGCUAACUAUUUCAUCACUUUCACCCUCCCGCUUCUCCCAAAAUGCCUCAAACCCUAAAAAUUCCACACUUUCACUGAAUCACUUUGCCCGCUUCUCUCAAAAUCAACCACUUUCAAUUUGCCGCUUCUCUCAAAAUCGAUUAAAGUCAUCUCAAUUUCUAGGUUUCAAGAUGAUCAGAUUUGGUCUACCUCACAGACGACAGUUCGAUUUCUGUUGGAUUCAAACCCUAUCUCAUGGAUUUGUUAUCCUUCGUCAAACCGAUCCCGCGAACAAGGUUUCGUAUUAUCUCGAUGAAGCAACAGGUUGUAAUUAAUCCAGGAAAUCCUACAGGCCAGGUUCUUACUUAAGAGAACCAAUGAGAUAACGUCGAGUUCUGCAAGAAAGAAGAUUUGGUCCUUUUAGCAGAUGAGGUAAGUGAUUCGCUAUGCAGUUAAUGCGGUAAAAAUUGGAUAUCGGUAAAAAAUCUGAUAUCGGUGAAAUUUAUAUCUGAGCCUCUUUUGAUCGUUUGAGCUACCUGAGUAUGGAAAAAGCCAUUUACACUAACCGCAAAAUAAAACAAGAUUGCUGGUAUCAUUUUCUAUUUAUUUGCCAACUCUCUUUUAAAUGCUAUGAUGAUGCAUUUGAAGUUCUUUAUGCCGAAAGGUUUUAGUAUUGCUGAAUAGAGCCGUUCAUAGUCUUUACUAGCUGUUUUUAAGGAUAUUAUCCCUAGGUAUAUUAUUUAAUCAUGUAAAUACUAUUUUUUCAUACAUUCACAUUAUUAACUGUAUAUUGUUUGUCAUUUUCAGAACAAGAACUGUAUUAGGCUACCUACUGAAAAAGAGCUUGCAAUGGUCGGUUUCGGGGCCGAAUCAUAGUUUACAGUGUCUAAACCUUUAAAUGAACAAACACACAUUGACAUAAAUGAAUACAUAGCCGGACGUUCAUGAACAUAAGCGAACGAUCGCAGCCUUUGUUCAUCUUCGUUUUUUUAACUUACCAAAUGAAAUUUCGUGUUCGUGUUUGUUCAUUUAUUAAACGAAUGAACAUAAACGAAUUUUCUGCCGAAUGGUUCACAAACUGUUGGCUGAAUGUUCGGUUCGUUUACAGCCCUAAAAAACUAGUUUUUUCGUGGGAUCAUUUCUGGAUAAAUUAGUGGCGUGAACAAUGGUUAAUGAACUGGGAAUAUUUACUUGCAGCAAAAGAAAACUGACCAAGCUGAGAAAGUAAUAAAAACAUUAUAUAGUGACGGAAAAGUUGUAGAGGUUAUGGCUGACAUAAGUACGUCUGGUCAAGGUUCAGAAGAACAAGAUGCUGGUUGGUUUGAUCUUUUCAGCGCCCGAUAUUUCAAAGUUGUGAGCGUUGGUGCAACCCUUUUCUUAUUCCAACAGUUGGCUGGAAUAAACGUUGUCGUGUACUAUUCAACCUCUGUGUUCCGCACCGCAGGAGUUGCAUCUGAUGUGGCAGCCAGUGCUCUUGUUGGGGCUACAAAUGUUUUCGGCACAAUGAUCGCGUCAUCUUUGAUGGACAAACAAGGACGGAAAAGUCUUCUGAUCACAAGCUUUUCCGGAAUGGAGAGGAUAAUGUUCUUGAACUUCCACUAGCUCAAGUUCCUAAGUUGGCUGGCUACACAAGCUGAGCAACAGCAAUGGGUCAAAACAACAAAGCAACCACGAAGUUAAAAAGUUCUCUUGAUGUCAUACGCUAUAGCGCGUGUUGGCGAUGUUUUGGCAUUCGUUGCCCGCGCCGCAACGCGCGCGAGGUUAAAUUCUAGUUAAGAUUACUUUGGAAAAGGAUAAUGGAUGAAAAUCCUAAGGAUGUUUUUGAUAAGAUACUGAGACGCCAUGUGGUCAAAGUUUAUAAUGUGGAAACAUACCCUUCUCAAGUUCUAUUUAUUGCUGCAAAAAUGAACAACACGCAAUUUUUGGUUGAGCUGAUUCGUGAAUAUCCUGAUCUUAUAUGGAAGACAUAUGAUGAUGGACAAACUAUCUUUCACACUGCAGUUGCUCAAUGUCAUCACUAUAUAUACAGUAUUAUAUCUGAUUGGGUCUGAUAACUCAUGUCAUAGAUCAACAAGGCAAUAAUAUUCUACAUAUGGUUGGAAAGAUUCCAGAGAAAUAUGCUUAUAAGGGCUAGGUUGCUCCUCCUUUUCGAAUGUUUCAUGAAUUUCUGUGGUACAAGGAAGUAAAGGGUAUGCUCUCUCCUCAAUAUAGAGAUGUAAAGAAUGAAGCAGGAAAAUCACCACAAGAACUUUUCACAGAGAACCACGAGAAACUAGUAUUAGAAGCUUUUUCAUUUUGUAUGGUAAAAGUGGGUGGGUGUAUAUGCUCAACGCUGGUGCUUAUCCAUUGGUGGUGUAUGCAUAUAUAUUGUCUUUGGAACGAUGAAAGGAACACUUCUAUCCGGGUAUCUCUUUAGACCCAAAAACCCUAAAAGGAAAUAAUUCUUUAUAUUGCUAUUACUGUUUGCUAUGAUGUUUUUUUUUUCAGGAUACACUUACUAUAGCAAUUCUUUCCAACAGCAACAGCUCAUGGAUGCAAAUUAUAGUCCUAAAGCAGAGAUUAUAUCGACUUGAAGAAAACCACCUAGAAAUAGUUCCUAGUUUGUGUAGUCAUUUUCGUUUGCAACUUUUGUAGAUAGGUUUCGGUUAGAUAUGUGUGUCUUUAGUAUUUUCAAUAAAAAACUUACAUAUGGAUUUUUGGUUAAUAUCAUUUGGUUUUAGAUUUUCUA
Molecule: RNA transcript, 2709 nt
Organism: Helianthus annuus (common sunflower)
Lineage: Eukaryota; Viridiplantae; Streptophyta; Magnoliopsida; Asterales; Asteraceae
Gene name: plastidic glucose transporter 4-like
Exons: 9
Source: RefSeq, a predicted model, not a curated record